Molecule: long non-coding RNA, 1110 nt
Filed under: Chrysemys picta bellii (western painted turtle)
Lineage: Eukaryota; Metazoa; Chordata; Testudines; Emydidae
Description: lncRNA (ENSCPBG00000002743.1)
Source: RNAcentral
UUUCAGCACAAAUCUUGGCCAGUUUAUUUUUCAGAAUUCCAUUCUGGCGUUCCACUGCCCCGGCAGACUGCGGAUGGUGGGGGCAGUGAAGGUUGUGUUGGAUUUGCAAAGCUGCACAGAACUCCUUUACAAUCUGUCCAGUAAAAUGAGUUCCACGGUCACUGUUGAGACUCACAGGGAUGCCAAAUCGGGGAACAAAAUCUUUGAGCAGAAGUUUCACAACAGUCCUGGCAUCUGCUUUCCUGCAGGGAAAAGCUUCAACCCAAUGUGAAAAUACAUCCACUAAAACUAACAGCUUUCCCAAUGUUAUGCUAACAAAUCACACCUUGUUGACAGUAGUGAUGUGCAAUGACUGGGAAACCGAAUGCACACCAAUCUCGUUUAAUCGCAGCAACCAUCCCCCUCCUAGAUCCCACUGCAAUGCCUUCCCAGCCUCAGUGAUAUUCAAUACCAUCUCUGUCAGCAAACGUAAACUGAAGCCAGGAGAAGUUGUCACUGUUCAUGACUACGUUUGCUGGGAGGGUAGGGGACAAGGAAGUACCCUGACAGGACACUUACUUUUUCAAGCCAAUGAUAGCUGUGUGUAUGUUAAUGCCACCACAUUGCAAGACAUGCAUUUUAAUCUCACUACCACUGCAGGCAAUCAUAUUAUCUACUGGCCUGCAGAUAGAGUUUUGCAAGUAGCUCUUAGGUUCCAGAUACCCUUUAAUUGGACUAGCUUAGUACCUGAUAGAUUUCAGAAUUUGUUUUCACUGUUACCAGAGGUUCAGAAAAUCUCUGAAGUACAAAGGCAAAUUCACAUGCUUCAAAAUAUAUAUCAAGUUGAAAAGUAUGCCUUUCAGACAGCUUAUAGUACUAAGUAUGAUGUAUUGUGUUUUAUGACUAAGAUUGUACAACAACCCCAUCGUAUUAUCGCUAUGGGAAUGUUAUUGCUUGUGUUGUUGUUAGCUAGUGUAGGAGUGUGUUAUUGUUGUUGUAAAGGACAUAAUAAUAGUAAUACCUUUCAUGUCCAUGCUCAUCAUGCAUUGUCAUUACAUCCAAUCAAAACCCCUAAGGUUGAAGCAUCUGAUGUAGAAUCUGAAUUCCAAGACUUAAUGCAAAUAGAGAUUU